RNAcentral lists this ribosomal RNA (427 nucleotides) under uncultured bacterium. Its description in RNAcentral is "bacterial SSU rRNA". It matches the Rfam family "Bacterial small subunit ribosomal RNA", at positions 355 to 775 of the family's 1533-position model. The record is from RNAcentral.
UCGAGAAUUUUUCUCAAUGGGGGAAACCCUGAAGGAGCGACGCCGCGUGGGGGAUGAAGGGCUUCGGCCUGUAAACCCCUGUCAUUUGCGAACAAACCUUACGUUUAAAUAGAGCGUGAGCUGAUUGUAGCGAAAGAGGAAGGGACGGCUAACUCUGUGCCAGCAGCCGCGGUAAUACAGAGGUCCCGAGCGUUGUUCGGAUUCACUGGGCGUAAAGGGUGCGUAGGCGGUGGGGCCAGUUUGAUGUGAAAGCUCGCAGCUUAACUGCGAAAUGGCAUUGAAUACUGCUCUGCUAGAGGCUUGGAGGGGGGACUGGAAUACUUGGUGUAGCAGUGAAAUGCGUAGAUAUCAAGUGGAACACCAGUGGCGAAGGCGAGUCCCUGGACAAGUCCUGACGCUGAGGCACGAAAGCUAGGGGAGCAAACAG